RNAcentral lists this transfer RNA (74 nucleotides) under Salmonella enterica subsp. enterica serovar Braenderup. Its description in RNAcentral is "tRNA-Arg". It matches the Rfam family "tRNA". From Rfam's summary of the family: Transfer RNA (tRNA) molecules are approximately 80 nucleotides in length. Their secondary structure includes four short double-helical elements and three loops (D, anti-codon, and T loops). Lineage: Bacteria; Pseudomonadati; Pseudomonadota; Gammaproteobacteria; Enterobacterales; Enterobacteriaceae. The record is from RNAcentral.
GUUCGUGUAGCUCAGAUGGAUAGAGUAUUUGUCUACGAAACAAAGGGUCGCAGGUUCGAAUCCUGCCUCGAACG